RNAcentral lists this long non-coding RNA (712 nucleotides) under Mytilus galloprovincialis (Mediterranean mussel). Lineage: Eukaryota; Metazoa; Mollusca; Bivalvia; Mytilida; Mytilidae. The record is from RNAcentral.
CUAAAAUGGUGUCUUAUUAAAACAUUAAUGUUUGAAUCGCGGUGACUGUUCAACUCAACCAAAACACAACAGUCAGUAUCUCAGCAGUCAGCAGUUUAACUUGACUACCAAAGGGUGUUUUUAACUGAAACGUAUAUAUUUCGACGACAGUUUUACUUUAUGAUAUAUCCGAUGGAAUAGAAAGCCAAAGCAGAAGUGACACUAGAACAGAUAUAACUUACAUAGAUCUGGUUCAAAGAACCGAACCCACUAAUAAAAUAAUGUCGUCGUAAAUUCCAAUAAUAGUGGUAGCUGUAGAAAAGUAGUUUUCAUACAGCGACUUAUCCAUCUAUUGUUUCCUCUAAAUUUCCGUUCUCAAAAUAGACGAAUAUGCUAUAUUAAAAUGCAAUGGCUAGUGAGGAGACUUUGUCUCUUACAAAAGUUAAAUGAAUGUGCCAAAUAAACUCAACAUAAGUUACAGGAUAAAAAUUUUGUAUUUGCACCAGACGCGCGAAUCGCCUACAAAUGACUCACCAGUGACGCUCGAAUAAAAAAAAUUCAAAAAGUGGAACCAACGGACGACGUUAAAGGGCAUUGAUGACCAAAAUUCCUAAAAGUUUAGCAAAAUACAGCUAAUAUAAUCUAUUCAUGCGGUAGAAAACCCUAAGUAUUUCAUAAAAAUCAGUUUCAAUUUUAAAUAUUAAUGUUCAUUAAAAAUAUAAUGAAUAGACGC